UCUUCCGGCUGGCUGUGGGCUGCAUUGCCAGUCCAGUAAGUAAGAUACGGCCAGAGCUGAGAACUAAUGGACCUGUCAGCUCGAUGCAGAGCACUUCUUGAAGCUCCCCAGAGGCAGAGACGGGGAUCUCCCUGUGUUGCCCAGGCUGGCCUCGAACUCCUGGGCCUGAGUGAUCCUCCUGCCUUGACCUCCUGCAAUGCUGGAAUGACAAGUGUGAGCCACCAAGCCCAGCCUGCCUGGGCUUUCCUGCCUGGACGGGCCUGCCAUGGUCCCUGGGGAACUUCAAAGACAGGAUGGACAACUGGCAGAACUGGGAGGACUCCAGUCCCCAGGGUGCACUUUUUAGGCCACAGAGAUGGUCUUGUUGUCCCACCCUCACUCCCAAAGCCACAUUUGCUUUUGGAACCACUGCUUGAUGCUUUGCAGAAGGGUGAAGGAAGAUGAGAAAGGCCUUAGCCUUUAGGUCUCUACUCUGUGCCAGAUGAGAACAGAGGGAGUCAGAGUCCUGGGGACACCCUGCAUUUCCGUCUAGAAGUCUUUCAAUCCCCUUUCCACCACUUCAGCAAGCGUUGCAACUGCCUCUGAUACCACCAGUCCCUGUCCUCCACGUCCCCUUCCCUAGUCACUGCUGCCAUCAAAUCAUCCUAGUCCGAAUGGGACUAUUCUAGACAGUCCAUGACAAUGAAGUUGAUUCAUUCACACCUUCGACAUAUAUUCCCCGAGCACCGGCGUAAGCCAGCAUGUCCUCGGCUCAGGAUAUUUUCUUGUUCUAUUUAUUUCUGUACUGUCAUGCUUGGUGCAGGUCUGAACACACAGCAGGCAUUCCCUACAUGUGCUGAAUAAAUCAAUGAAUGGCUGAACAUUGAACUUGUAGCCAACUGGUCCUUAUUCAUCAUUGUUUUCAGCUGCUGCUUUUAAGUCAAGUAUCUGUCAACCCAAAGACUGUUGUAGUCACUUCACUGUCCCCAAGAAUCUAACAUGUUUA
Callithrix jacchus (white-tufted-ear marmoset) is the source of this 985-nucleotide non-coding RNA. The record is from RefSeq and is a predicted model, not a curated record. NCBI's taxonomy places the organism in Eukaryota, Metazoa, Chordata, Mammalia, Primates, Cebidae.